GACGAACGCUGGCGGCGUGCUUAACACAUGCAAGUCGAGCGGUAAGGCCCUUUCGGGGGUACGACGAGCGGCGAACGGGUGAGUAACACGUGGGUGACCUGCCCUUAGCUCUGGGAUAAGCCUGGGAAACUAGGGUCUAAUACCGGAUAUGACUCCAUGACGCAUGUUGUGGGGUGGAAAGCCUUGUGCGGCUAGGGAUGGGCCCGCGGCCUAUCAGCUUGUUGGUGGGGUGAUGGCCACCAAGGCGACGACGGGUAGCUGGUCUGAGAGGAUGUCCAGCCACACUGGGACUGAGACACGGCCCAGACUCCUACGGGAGGCAGCAGUAGGGAAUCUUGCGCAAUGGGCGAAAGCCUGACGCAGCGACGCCGCGUGCGGGAUGAAGG
RNAcentral lists this ribosomal RNA (386 nucleotides) under uncultured bacterium. Its description in RNAcentral is "bacterial SSU rRNA". It matches the Rfam family "Bacterial small subunit ribosomal RNA", at positions 28 to 414 of the family's 1533-position model. The record is from RNAcentral.